Molecule: ribosomal RNA, 521 nt
Filed under: uncultured bacterium
Lineage: Bacteria
Description: bacterial SSU rRNA
Rfam family: Bacterial small subunit ribosomal RNA
Source: RNAcentral
GAGUUUGAUCCUGGCUCAGGAUGAACGCUAGCUACAGGCUUAACACAUGCAAGUCGAGGGGCAGCAUGGUCUUAGCUUGCUAAGGCCGAUGGCGACCGGCGCACGGGUGAGUAACACGUAUCCAACCUGCCGUCUACUCUUGGACAGCCUUCUGAAAGGAAGAUUAAUACAAGAUGGCAUCAUGAGUCCGCAUGUUCACAUGAUUAAAGGUAUUCCGGUAGACGAUGGGGAUGCGUUCCAUUAGAUAGUAGGCGGGGUAACGGCCCACCUAGUCUUCGAUGGAUAGGGGUUCUGAGAGGAAGGUCCCCCACACUGGUACUGAGACACGGACCAGACUCCUACGGGAGGCAGCGGUGAGGAAUAUUGGUCAAUGGAGGCAACUCUGAACCAGCCAUGCCGCGUGAAGGAUGACGGCCCUAUGGGUUGUAAACUUCUUCUAUAUGGGAAGAAACUUAUCUACGUGUAGAUAACUGACGGUACCAUACGACUAAGGAUCGGCUAACUCCGUGCCAGCAGCCGCG